GGGCCCAUGGUCUAGCGGCUAAAUAUCUUAGAAAGUUCUAGGAUAUUCUGCUAAUGACGACACCCUUACAAGGUGUAAGUCCCCAGUUCGAUUCUGGGUGGGCCCACCA
RNAcentral lists this transfer RNA (109 nucleotides) under Candidatus Woesearchaeota archaeon. Its description in RNAcentral is "tRNA-Val". Lineage: Archaea; Nanobdellati; Candidatus Woesearchaeota. The record is from RNAcentral.